CACCUGCAUCACCUGCAUCCCUUCCUGAGGAAGGUUUGGGAUUGCUUCAGUCCCUGUGAAACACUGAGCCCACCAGACCCAAUCCCUGGAAUAAAACAUCCUGAGGCCUCCACCAAACCCUCUCUGGGUGUGGACACAGCUUAGAACAUUGAUUUUUAAAAGCAAACCUUCACUGUUUGGUGCUGGAGCUCGUGCUCUGACUGCCCUGCCCAGCGGGAUUUGCUGCUCUGGGAAUUCCUCGUGGAUUUUGGAUCCAAACAUGAACCAGAGGAGCUGCUGAGUGCCCCAGCUUGGACAGAUGAGAUCCCAGCUUAGAGAGAGCAGUACCUCAAUCAAAAGCUGAAAUCACUGUAUUUAUUCAUUUCAGAGGAUUCUGCAGGUGCCCCCUGAGUGCCCUGAGCACAAGGCUGGGAGCCAGGAACCCCAGCCCACCUGGGACCCACCAAGGGGAUCAGAAGGGACCUUCCUGCCCCCUCAAGGAGGAUCUGAGAGGGUUUUGGUCUCUUCUCCCCAGAUAGGAGAAGAAGAAAUGGCCUCAAGUGGUAUCAGGGCAAGUUUGAGUUAAAUAUUGGGGGAAUUCCUCAUUGUGCAGCCCUGGCACAGCUGUCCAGGGCAGGGCUGGAGCCCCCAUCCCUGGGGGGAUUUCACAGCCCCACGGAGGUGGCACCUGGGGACAGGGGCAGUGGGGCUCAAUGACCUUGCUGGGCUUUUCCAGCCUGACCAGCUCUGGGAUCCUGUGGCUCUCUGUGUCCCCAGCUGUGCAGCACCCACAGAACGCCCCCAAUAUCCCCCCCCUGGGGGUGCAGGGGUCAGACACAGCCAGGUUUGGGGUCCGUCAGUGGGGCAGGGCUGUGCCAGGUGCUGCUCGUGGCUCUGGGGGUGCAGGAGUCAGACACAGCCAGGUUUGGGGUCCCUCAGUGGGGCAGGGCUGUGCCAGGUGCUGCUCGUGGCUCUCAGCAGGAGCAGGCCUUGCCCAGCUGGGCACAACAAUCCCACCAGGACCCACCUGGGGGCUCCUGCCUGGCCAAGGCUCUCUGGGAUUGCCCCAGCAGGGGCUGCUGCUGCUGGGGCUGUGCCCUGGUGCCCAGGAGGGGCUGUGCAUCAUUCCGGUUUGACGUGAUGAGGGGCAGUGACUGGUGGGUUAGCUGGUGUAAAGGUUUCUGGGUCACCUGGGAGGUUGGGGGAGA
Melospiza melodia melodia is the source of this 1187-nucleotide long non-coding RNA. RefSeq lists it as uncharacterized. NCBI's taxonomy places the organism in Eukaryota, Metazoa, Chordata, Aves, Passeriformes, Passerellidae. The transcript has 3 exons. The record is from RefSeq and is a predicted model, not a curated record.